UCAAAAGGGUCUGAGUGCUCGGCUGGGGUUUGGGGGCAAACGAAAAAUGGACUGCAUGGCGGCUUCCUGACAACGAUCGGGUGGGCGAGCUCAAUCAACCAAAGCUGCAAAGUUCAAUUUUGUGGGCAAUUUCUUAAUCUGCAGAUUACGAAGCUUAUAUUGAAGAAUCUUGGAUGGAUUCCGAUCCUUCAAAUUUUCGCUGGAUUUGCUCCAUCAUUGGAGAACCGAUCUGGUAUUGACUUGUUGGCUUCACGUUAGUCCCUCCCUUCAGACAAUAAUCUUUAAGCAAGGAGAAAGAUAUGCCUCGAUUCAAUUAGUUGCAGUAUUGAUUUGCCAAACAUGGUUUCGAUCGAUGUCACCAAAUCUUGCCUUUAUUCAAUUAGCCAGUGUUGAAGUUGGAGCUUCUUAAGAAGAACCAAAACAUGGUUUUCAAUUCAUGAGAAUGUUAAGCUCACCAUUGAGAUUGGGGACACGAGAAAGAUGAGUGCAAAGCGACUCCUUGGCAUCAAAGACCCUGAUGCUCCCACCAGGGAAGAGUUGGCUGCUGUUCUUGAAGAAGUCCCUUCUUUUAAGUUCCUAUGCAUAAUGCU
Long non-coding RNA from Rosa chinensis, 590 nucleotides. RefSeq lists it as uncharacterized. NCBI's taxonomy places the organism in Eukaryota, Viridiplantae, Streptophyta, Magnoliopsida, Rosales, Rosaceae. The transcript has 4 exons. The record is from RefSeq and is a predicted model, not a curated record.